Molecule: ribosomal RNA, 253 nt
Filed under: uncultured bacterium
Lineage: Bacteria
Description: partial 16S ribosomal RNA
Rfam family: Bacterial small subunit ribosomal RNA
Source: RNAcentral
UACGGAGGGUGCAAGCGUUAUCCGGAUUUAUUGGGUUUAAAGGGUGCGCAGGCGGUAUAAUAAGUCAGUGGUGAAAACUUGCAGCUUAACUGUAAGACUGCCAUUGAAACUGUUGUACUUGAGUUAUCUUGAGGUAGGCGGAAUGUGUAGUGUAGCGGUGAAAUGCUUAGAUAUUACACAGAACACCGAUUGCGAAGGCAGCUUACUAAGGAUAUACUGACGCUCAGGCACGAAAGCGUGGGGAUCGAACAGG